GUGAGGGGGAAGAAGGAGAGGAGAGAGAAGAAUGCAUUUUUCCCCACAUUCUAGUAUUGUGCAACUAUACUAGGUGUGGUUGAUAUCCACAUGUUGAAUAGGAAAUAGUGUUUAGUUUCCCUGACAUAACUUGGUAGUUUAUUUCCAAUUUUUAAUAAGACAUUUCUAGAACAAUCAAGAGGACCAAAUUAGAAUAUAUGAAAGUGACAUUGUCAAGGUAAACACAGCCCUUAAAAUCAUCCACCACUUGGAAUUUAUUAGCCUCAUUCUUAUUCCCUCCCCCUACCAUAGGCCAGACAGCCAUAAUGGCAGUAGAUGGAGAACGGGCUGUAUGUGUCUUCCUUGUCAUAGCUUAACCUUGUGGACAAUAUGAACCAAGUUAGACAAUUUAAGAAGAAUGGAGGCACCUUGGUGUGCUCUGUUUCUCUCUGCGUUCCUAGGCCUGGUAGACAGGCUCUAUUUGUUUGAGAACCAAUGUCUCUUCAGAGUCUUACAAGAUAAAUGAACAAAAUGUUUGAGUAGAUAAAUGCAGAGCAAGCCAAGAUGACGAAUACUGAACAUAAGAGCCAAGCAAAUGUUAGAAUCUUAAUUUACAGGAUCUACAUUAUACCAUCACUACUUAGUAACCGUCCCUGGUGGGUGCUACGUACCCGUUGCUAUUAAAACAUUUACACAACCAAUCUAGAAAACUGACUCUCAGGCCCUCGUGAAGAUCCCUAAUCCACAGAGGGCCCAGGUUUCUUCCUUCCAGUGUCAGGACCUGAUGCUCAAGUCUGAGGAUCAGCUGGAUGACAGAAGGGUGUUUCAGAACUCCUGGGAACCAGAACAGAGAUCUUAAGUGACAGAAGAUUUCAGAAAGAACAGCUCUCCUCCGCUGCAUUGGGUGAUGCCAUUUUUCCCAGGUGAGCACACACUAAGUAGAGUGGAGCUUAGGUUGACCUUUCCUUCUGUGGCAUACUCAGUGUAGUGUACAUCAGGACUGUCAUGAGCCUGUUGUUUUGAGAGGUCUCUGCUAGCCACCAGCACUCAAAUUGACCAAGUGUUCACCAGUGGAUAAACAGAUAAAGAUGCCCCCCUUUCAAUCCUCACUCCUGUGAUUUGUGACAAUAUAGAGGAACCCCAGGGGCACACAUUAAAUGAAAUAAUGUUUGAGGUGCCCAAAGAUAAGUGUUGUACGAUCUCAUCCAUAGACAUUGUAUAGAUGUAUAGAGGUCUAUACAUUGUAUUAACAGAGACUAAGGUGGGGAAGGAGAGGGAGCUAGCAAAGAAGUUGAUCUUUGGGUACAAACUUACAGUUAGGAUAAGCAAGUUUUGGCAUAUGACUGCACAGUAGAGUGACUACAUCAAUGAUAACAGUUAAUAUUUCAAAAAACCUAGAAGAGAUGAUCCUCCUUAUUGGUAUUAUAAUAAUUGAAGAAAGGAUUUUAAUAUUCUACUGCCAAGACAGGAUAAAUGUUUUGAAGCCAUGAGUAUAAUUCCCAUGACUCGAUCACUGGAUAAUGUUUGUAUAAUGUGUAACUAUUGUGUUAGUUUUCUGUCAGCCUAACACAGACUAGAGUCAUCUGGAAGAAGGCACCUCAGCCAAGAAAAUGACCUCUUCAGAUUGGCUUGUGGGCAAGUCUGUGGGGGGGCAUUUUCUUAGUAAAGGAUUGAUGUUCGAGGGCGCAGUCCACUGCGGGUGGUGCCAACCCUGACAGGAGGUUCUGAGUUGUAAAAACAAACGCUGAGGGAGCCAUGGGGAGCAGGCCAGGAAGCAGUGUUUCUCUUGCUUCCAGGUGACUGCCCUGACUUUCCGUCCUAAUAGACUAAGCUGGAGUUUUGUAAGGCCUUCCCAAGCUGCUUUUGGCCACGAUGUUUAUCACAGCAACAGAAAGUAAAUUAGAACAUGCAUAUUGAAGUUCAUGUUGUACCCCCACAGAUGUAUAUAAUCAUUUUAUAUACAUACAUAUAUACAUACAUAUGUCCGUAAGUGUGUGUGUGUGUGUGUGUGUGUGUCCGUGUGUCCGUGUGCACGUAUGCACGUGUGCAUAUCUACAGCUGCCGAAAAUCUGCUGUUGAGAGAAAGGAAGUCACCAGUGAGAGGUGGCUAUAUGCGAAACUCCUCUUUUCUUUGCUGCUACAUGGGCACUCUCCAGGGAGGAAGCUUUGAGCACAAGGAAGGGGGAGGCUUUUAACUUCAGCAUUUCUGUUCCUAGUCCUAAGCUAGGGGUGGUUUGCUGAGACCGAAAACUCCAUCAGAGGAAGACAUGUCCGCUAACUGCGGCUAAGUAUGAAUUCCUACCGGGAUUAGAAUUCGCACACCCUGACUUCCUAACUGAGACUCUCUUGGAGAACUGGGCCAAACUGGAACUUUAGAAACCUUGGUAGAAAACAGGAGUCUUGGCUUCUAGAAGACAGGAGGGACCAGAAGGGUCUGAAAGGCCCCUGCAUCAAAACCCUAAACUUCUGGUUGUCUUGGUUGAUGCGAUCCUUGAACAGGACUUCCUCAGAAGUGCCCCAGCAAAGCCAGCCUGAUCCAGCACCUCCAGGUGUGAGCAGAGCAGCCUCAGGAAUUCCCAGGUCCAGAUACUUCUAAGAAGAGGCACAGAGAGUUGUUAGAGAAUCCCUUGGUAUGGUAUUUUGCCCAGCGUCAACUGUCAACUUGACAUAGUCAAGAGCCAAUUGCUAAGAGAGUCUCAAAUGAGUGUCCUUUUCAGGUCAGUCUGUGGGUAUGGAUGUAAGAGACUGCCUUGAUUACUAGGUGAUGUUGGGUGUGCCCACUGCAGGAGGCACUAUUACCUGGGCUGUAUAAGAAAGCUAGCUAAGCGUAAGCCUGUGAGUGAGUCAGCAUCUAACAUUCACCUUUGCUUUCUGCUCCUUUCCUGCCCUUGACUUCCCUCGAUGAUGGACAGCAAUCUGGAAGCUGAAAUAAGCCCUUUCCUUCUUAAAGGGGGUUUUGGUCACGAUAUUUGUGGCAGCAACUGAAUCAAACUGGAAUAUUUGGAAUCUACGCCUUUUGAUGGGACUAUAAACAUCUUUUCACAGCUUCUGAACUACAUCCCAUAAUAUACAUGACCGCAUCCAUCACAGACAGCCAAGAGGCUGCUUCUGGGAUUUUUUUCCAUCCAGUAAUAUCUCUCUGGGUAAGAUGAUACACACGUCACUCACUUCAGGCCAGGGACAGGUGUGUUGUCUUUUGAUUUUUCUGCACACCGGUCUUCACCACCAUGUCUCAUGCCCAGCCUGCAUCAAGAGAUGGCUUGCCCCGAGCCAAUAUGAUUACAGAGGAAAAACAACAAAACCCUCUGACAUGGCUGGCUUUGAUGGGUCUAGUGUUAUUUGCUGCCCCCUUGUGGUCAGACUGGAUUCCCUCAUUCGCCUCUCCAGGACGUAUAGCAGGUUUCUGAAGAGAAAGCUUGGCAGAGUUUUGUUAGGAGGAACAGAGAGAAAGGUUGAAACUGGCGAGAGUUUUAAAUAAGAAAAGACUAAUGAAAUGGUUGCUACACUUGACACUCUCUGACCCUGUAGUCGUCUGUGGCAGGAAAUGGAUGGUUGUCGAGAAUCCGUUUGGGGCGCCGACUCCAGGUCCCUAUAAUUUAUCAUUUUUAUAUAUUCCAUCUUAGACCUUUUUAUAACUUGCACUUGCUUAUCUUAAAUUGCCUUCUCAGACCCUCACAACUCACUUAAGCUCCCAUAUCCUCAGACCUUUAUACAUCUUAAAUUUCUUUCUUAAAGGGCCGAGAUGUGGAGAAGUUGCCCGCCCCUCUCUUCCCUUCCUCCAACAACAGAGUCCCAUUGAGCUUUGUCCUUACCCACCCCACCCAGAAGAGAAACCAAGUUCCCCACCUAAGGACUGCGGAAUCCAGACACACCAAAGUGACACAAAUACAAUACCCAGACUUCACUGUGUGAUGUGUAGGAGAAACUUAAUAAAUGUAGCUCUGACCUCUCAUGCUCCCUUCUCCUUUUAUCUAUUACAGUAGUUUCAACCUUCCUGAUGCUGUGAACCCUUUAAUAAGUUCCUCAUGUUGUUGUGACCCCCAACAUAAAAUUAUUAUCAUUGCUA
Molecule: small RNA, 4045 nt
Filed under: Rattus norvegicus (Norway rat)
Lineage: Eukaryota; Metazoa; Chordata; Mammalia; Rodentia; Muridae
Description: uncharacterized LOC103693092
Source: RNAcentral